UCCAAUGGAUAGGUAAUUGUACCUCUCAGCCACACACUUUCUUGCUGAGCUAUAUAAUGGUUCAUGAGCUCUUAACUGAGACUUAUAAAAGUGUUCUCAAUUGUUAGUUCAAGGUCUGUAGCCAGCUUAGAAAUUGUUAAAAUGUACAAAAUAAAUGAGAAAAAAACAGCAAGGAAAGAAAUUCUAGGUCAUGCUUUUAUGAGCUGCUUGACAAAAAAAAAGCAG
RNAcentral lists this long non-coding RNA (225 nucleotides) under Homo sapiens (human). RNAcentral describes it as "non-protein coding lnc-ARHGEF26-5:1". Lineage: Eukaryota; Metazoa; Chordata; Mammalia; Primates; Hominidae. The record is from RNAcentral.